AAACCGGUAGCUUAGUUGGCAAAGCAUCUGACUUUUAAUCAGAGGAGCGUGGGUUCGAGUCCCACUCGGUUUA
This 73-nucleotide transfer RNA is filed under the name Aureispira sp. CCB-E. RNAcentral describes it as "tRNA-Lys". It matches the Rfam family "tRNA". Rfam says of the family: Transfer RNA (tRNA) molecules are approximately 80 nucleotides in length. Their secondary structure includes four short double-helical elements and three loops (D, anti-codon, and T loops). Further hydrogen bonds mediate the characteristic L-shaped molecular structure. tRNAs have two regions of fundamental functional importance: the anti-codon, which is responsible for specific mRNA codon recognition, and the 3' end, to which the tRNAs corresponding amino acid is attached (by aminoacyl-tRNA synthetases). tRNAs cope with the degeneracy of the genetic code in two manners: having more than one tRNA (with a specific anti-codon) for a particular amino acid; and 'wobble' base-pairing, i.e. permitting non-standard base-pairing at the 3rd anti-codon position. Lineage: Bacteria; Pseudomonadati; Bacteroidota; Saprospiria; Saprospirales; Saprospiraceae. The record is from RNAcentral.